CCUAGAGUUGUAGGGCUUUGCCUGCCAUCUCUUACCCAUGUCUUUUGAGUACCUUACGUUUCCUCGGCGGGUCCGCCCGCCGAUUCAGGACAAUUUAAAACCACUUGCAGUUGCAAUCAGCGUCUGAAAAACUUUAAUAGUUA
RNAcentral lists this unclassified non-coding RNA (143 nucleotides) under soil metagenome. RNAcentral describes it as "partial internal transcribed spacer 1". The record is from RNAcentral.